GUAGUUAGCCGGGGCUUCCUCCUUGGCUACCGUCAUUUGUUUCGUCACCAAGGACAGAGGUUUACAACCCGAAAGCCUUCUUCCCUCACGCGGCGUUGCUGGGUCAGGCUUGCGCCCAUUGCCCAAUAUUCCCCACUGCUGCCUCCCGUAGGAGUCUGGACCGUGUCUCAGUUCCAGUGUGGCCGAUCAGCCUCUCAGCUCGGCUACCCAUCGUCGGCUUGGUGAGCCGUUACCUCACCAACUACCUAAUGGGACGCGAACCCCUCUUAAAGCGGAUUGCUCCUUUGACCUCAUCCUGAUGCCAGGUCGUGGUCUUAUGCGGUAUUAGCACUUGUUUCCAGGUGUUAUCCCCCUCUUUAAGGCAGGUUGUUCACGCGUUACUCACCCGUUCGCCACUAAAGUAUCAACCGAAAUCAAUACUUCCGUUCGACUUGCAUGUGUUAGGCACGCCGCCAGCGUUCGUCCUGAGCAGAUACGACCUACGA
RNAcentral lists this ribosomal RNA (485 nucleotides) under uncultured bacterium. RNAcentral describes it as "partial 16S ribosomal RNA". The record is from RNAcentral.